GGGGCUGUUCUGGCUUUUGACGGGUUGGCCAAUAGAUGUGUAAGCACGUAGAGCUUGAGAGUAUGCUCUUAAAUAUCGCUUUCAACAACGUAAACGGCGAGUCUAACUUUGCCAUGGCUGCGUAGUCUUAGAGACUAAGCAAUUGCCAUCCGCUUGCCCAAGUCAUGUCUCGGAUACGAGGGAUCACAAGCGGUCGAUAAUCUGAGGUAAUUUUGGUGUAUUUCUACCAAGCCAAAAUUUAUAAUGUAGGAUAAGGAUAGUUUGGGUUUGUAAUGCACCUGGCCUGUCUCGAAAAUCAAGCAAAACUACACGUGUAGAAAGCGCAACUCUAUUCCGAUUCGGACCCGGGUUCGACUCCCGGCAGCUCCACUU
RNAcentral lists this transfer-messenger RNA (372 nucleotides) under Bacteroidia. RNAcentral describes it as "UBA9320 sp002384205 Standard tmRNA". It matches the Rfam family "transfer-messenger RNA". Rfam says of the family: Bacterial tmRNA, also known as 10Sa RNA or SsrA, is named for its dual tRNA and mRNA-like properties. Its role is to liberate the mRNA from a stalled ribosome. Lineage: Bacteria; Pseudomonadati; Bacteroidota. The record is from RNAcentral. RNAcentral also lists the same sequence under 1 other name.